This 430-nucleotide ribosomal RNA is filed under the name Pseudomonadota bacterium. RNAcentral's name for it is "Proteobacteria bacterium partial 16S ribosomal RNA". It matches the Rfam family "Bacterial small subunit ribosomal RNA", at positions 355 to 776 of the family's 1533-position model. The record is from RNAcentral. Lineage: Bacteria; Pseudomonadati; Pseudomonadota.
UGGGGAAUAUUGGACAAUGGGGGGAACCCUGAUCCAGCCAUGCCGCGUGUGUGAAGAAGGCCUUAUGGUUGUAAAGCACUUUAAGCGAGGAGGAGGGUACUGGUAUUAAUACUACCAGGUACUGGACGUUACUCGCAGAAUAAGCACCGGCUAACUCUGUGCCAGCAGCCGCGGUAAUACAGAGGGUGCGAGCGUUAAUCGGAUUUACUGGGCGUAAAGCGUGCGUAGGCGGCUAAUUGAGUCGGAUGUGAAAUCCCCGAGCUUAACUUGGGAAUUGCAUUCGAUACUGGCGAGCUAGAGUAGGGCAGAGGGUGGUGGAAUUUCCUGUGUAGCGGUGAAAUGCGUAGAUAUAGGAAGGAACACCAGUGGCGAAGGCGACCACCUGGGCUCAUACUGACACUGAGGUGCGAAAGCGUGGGGAGCAAACAGG